GGCUAUAUAGUAUAAUGGUAAUUACAAGGGUCUGCAAAAUCUUUGACAUUGGUUCGAAUCCGAUUAUGGUCU
Molecule: transfer RNA, 72 nt
Filed under: Actinophrys sol
Lineage: Eukaryota; Actinophryidae
Description: tRNA-Cys
Rfam family: tRNA
About the family: Transfer RNA (tRNA) molecules are approximately 80 nucleotides in length.
Source: RNAcentral